UGGCCGUGGUUGAUGGCAUGUUGCACC
Molecule: non-coding RNA, 27 nt
Filed under: Homo sapiens (human)
Lineage: Eukaryota; Metazoa; Chordata; Mammalia; Primates; Hominidae
Source: RNAcentral